This is a long non-coding RNA of Humulus lupulus (European hop), 247 nucleotides long. RefSeq lists it as uncharacterized. The transcript is spliced from 3 exons. NCBI's taxonomy places the organism in Eukaryota, Viridiplantae, Streptophyta, Magnoliopsida, Rosales, Cannabaceae. The record is from RefSeq and is a predicted model, not a curated record.
CAAGAUGGUCUGUGAGGCAGAUGAAACUGAUCUAAAUAUACACGUAUUGGCUGUCAUGCUACCACAUUAUGAUGGCUUGAGCUUGUAAAGAAUGCUGCUUAACAGUUCAUCAGGUGCACCAGUGGCUGUGAGGUUUGAUGGUGGCAGGGCUUGGAAAGGCGAGGUGUAGGCUCGAUGAAGGAGAAAUUGAUUAUGUGAGGGUUUUGAAUGGAGCCCUUCCAAAUGAUAUGGGAGUUUUUGGCUGGUG